This 464-nucleotide ribosomal RNA is filed under the name uncultured bacterium. RNAcentral describes it as "partial 16S ribosomal RNA". It matches the Rfam family "Bacterial small subunit ribosomal RNA", at positions 28 to 506 of the family's 1533-position model. The record is from RNAcentral.
GACGAACGCUGGCGGCGUGCUUAACACAUGCAAGUCGAACGGAAAGGCCCCCUUGUGGGGUACUCGAGUGGCGAACGGGUGAGUAACACGUGAGUAACCUACCCUUGACUUUGGGAUAACUUCAGGAAACUGGGGCUAAUACCGGAUAGGAGCUCCUGCUGCAUGGUGGGGGUUGGAAAGUUUCGGCGGUUGGGGAUGGACUCGCGGCUUAUCAGCUUGUUGGUGGGGUAGUGGCUCACCAAGGCUUUGACGGGGAGCCGGCCUGAGGGGGUGACCGGCCAGAUGGGGCUUGAGAAACGGCCCAGCCCCCCACGGGGGGGAGGGGGGGGAAAUUUUGCCAAAGGGGCGGAAGCCUGAUGGAGCAACCCCGGGGGGGGGAGGGCGGCCUUCGGGUUGAAACCCGCUUUCGCUUGUGACGAAGCGUGGGGAACGGUAAUGGGAAAAGAAGCACGGGCUAACUACGU